Molecule: unclassified non-coding RNA, 288 nt
Filed under: uncultured bacterium
Lineage: Bacteria
Description: contains 16S-23S intergenic spacer region
Source: RNAcentral
CUCCUCUCCAACUCGUUCACGUCACCGAGAGAAAUGACGUCGUUUAUACUUCCACCACCACAAGGAGAAAAAGAUCGGUUUUGGAAUCCGUUACCGCAAACAGAAUCCAAAUCCCUCUCCUCAGCGACACUACUAGUACUAGUCAAGUUUCCAUCAAAGGCAAGCCCAAUGUCACCCCCGAUGGAGAAUAUUUAAUAUACGUAUCCACCCGGAUUGAUUCACCGAGCUGACUCGGUUGGUUUCACAGUAGCCCUCAGCUUUUACUCGAGAGUGUUAAGAGCCUCGUCC